Molecule: ribosomal RNA, 254 nt
Filed under: uncultured bacterium
Lineage: Bacteria
Description: partial 16S ribosomal RNA
Rfam family: Bacterial small subunit ribosomal RNA
Source: RNAcentral
UACGUAGGGGGCAAGCGUUGUCCGGAUUUACUGGGCGUAAAGGGCGCGUAGGCGGCCAGCCCAAGUCGGGGGUGAAAUCCUGGAGCUCAACUCCAGAACUGCCUUCGAUACUGGAGAGCUUGAGUCCGGGAGAGGUGAGUGGAACUGCGAGUGUAGAGGUGAAAUUCGUAGAUAUUCGCAAGAACACCAGUGGCGAAGGCGGCUCACUGGCCCGGUACUGACGCUGAGGUGCGAAAGCGUGGGGAGCAAACAGG